RNAcentral lists this small RNA (99 nucleotides) under Streptomyces sp. HmicA12. RNAcentral describes it as "che1 RNA". It matches the Rfam family "che1 RNA". The record is from Rfam by way of RNAcentral. RNAcentral also lists the same sequence under 1 other name. Lineage: Bacteria; Bacillati; Actinomycetota; Actinomycetes; Kitasatosporales; Streptomycetaceae.
AGGGCAGGGGGGUCUCGGCCAUUUCGGCUGAGCCUGUCCGGCAGGUUGCGCGUGAUGGCUCAGGUGCGACCAGUGGUUGUCGCUCGGGGGUGAUCGCCG